AACGUAGGUGGCAAGCGUUAUCCGGAUUUACUGGGCGUAAAGCGUGUGCAGGCGGACGGCCAAGUGGUGUAUGAAAUCGCCCGGCUUAACCGGGCGGGCGUAGGCCAGACUGGUCGUCUGGAGUGUGAGAGAGGGGCGUGGAAUUCCGGGUGUAGUGGUGAAAUGCGUAGAGAUCCGGAGGAACCCCAGAGGCGAAGGCGGCGCCCUGGCUCACAACUGACGCUCAGACACGACAGCAUGGGGAG
RNAcentral lists this ribosomal RNA (245 nucleotides) under uncultured bacterium. RNAcentral's name for it is "partial 16S ribosomal RNA". It matches the Rfam family "Bacterial small subunit ribosomal RNA", at positions 524 to 768 of the family's 1533-position model. The record is from RNAcentral.